Tyto alba (common barn owl) is the source of this 536-nucleotide long non-coding RNA. RefSeq lists it as uncharacterized. The record is from RefSeq and is a predicted model, not a curated record. NCBI's taxonomy places the organism in Eukaryota, Metazoa, Chordata, Aves, Strigiformes, Tytonidae. The transcript has 2 exons.
UCCCCGGGCACGGCCCCUUCCCCCGCUCUCCGCCCCCCCGCCCCGCGCUCCGCUCCGCUCCGCUCGCCUCGUCCGCGCUUGUCUAAUCCAACCAACCUGCCGGAGCCGGGUUCCGGCUGCUCCCAGACGCCAAGGGCCGCUGCAGCAAGUGGGACUUGGGCCAGCUUGCCCCUUCACGAUCCGGAUCAUCCCCGGCUUAAACCACACCGUGAUUUCGCCUUUCUGAGCGCGAAGCCGGCGGGGACAAAGAGCCCGGGCACGGCCCAAGCGCCUGCGCCCCGCAGAGAUCCGAGCAAGUCUGAUGAGAGCAAUGAGAAACUGCGCGAGACCGAGCAGAUUCUGACAGACUGCAUCACCUUCUAAAACUUCUGAUGGUACAGCACAGCAAUUCCUACAACAGAACAGAUGGCCGUUCCCUAAGAGAGCAUCUUUGUCUCCAGCAGCAGGCAACCCCUGCUGCUUCAGAGGAGAUCGGCAGACUUUGUUGUGAAAGACCAAAUGAAUAAAAACUCUCCCUGAAAUACUUUUACUGCCAA